UACGGAGGGUCCAAGCGUUAUCCGGAAUCAUUGGGUUUAAAGGGUGCGUAGGCGGACACAUAAGUCAGUGGUGAAAUCCCGAGGCUCAACUUCGGAACUGCCAUUGAUACUGUGAUGUCUUGAAUUUAGUUGGAGUAGGCGGAAUGAGUAGUGUAGCGGUGAAAUGCAUAGAUAUUACUCAGAACACCGAUAGCGAAGGC
This 200-nucleotide ribosomal RNA is filed under the name uncultured bacterium. RNAcentral's name for it is "partial 16S ribosomal RNA". It matches the Rfam family "Bacterial small subunit ribosomal RNA", at positions 524 to 722 of the family's 1533-position model. The record is from RNAcentral.